Molecule: long non-coding RNA, 242 nt
Organism: Otolemur garnettii (small-eared galago)
Lineage: Eukaryota; Metazoa; Chordata; Mammalia; Primates; Galagidae
Exons: 3
Source: RefSeq, a predicted model, not a curated record
CCUCCCCUACAAUGGGCAUGAGGGGGGUGAAGAGAAUCACAGGCUCCCAUCACCGGGCCUUGGGAGAGGUCUCUGGCCUGCUCUAAGAAGAUCCUGCCAAAAGCCAGAAGGCGUAUGGACUGAUAGGCCAGUUUCUCACCUCCAGAAAUUGUUCUCCUUUUCUGGAAGAUUCAUCGCUCAUUGUUGAAGAUGCCACAUAAACCAGAUUUCAAAGCCACCACUUUGGCUUCCAUUUCAUCGAG